GAACGUAUGGCUUAGUGUUUAGAGCGCUUGGACAGUAAACAAGAGCGCACGAUUCAAAUCCUGCUAUGUGUA
This 72-nucleotide transfer RNA is filed under the name Heliconius melpomene (postman butterfly). RNAcentral describes it as "tRNA HMEL005225". It matches the Rfam family "tRNA". Rfam says of the family: Transfer RNA (tRNA) molecules are approximately 80 nucleotides in length. Their secondary structure includes four short double-helical elements and three loops (D, anti-codon, and T loops). Lineage: Eukaryota; Metazoa; Arthropoda; Insecta; Lepidoptera; Nymphalidae. The record is from RNAcentral.